GACGAACGCUGGCGGCGUGCUUAACACAUGCAAGUCGAACGGAAAGGCCCUGCUUUUGUGGGGUGCUCGAGUGGCGAACGGGUGAGUAACACGUGAGUAACCUGCCCUUGACUGUGGGAUACCUUCAGGAAACUGGGGCUAAUACCGGAUAGGAGCUCCUGCUGCAUGGUGGGGGUUGGAAAGUUUCGGCGGUUGGGGAUGGACUCGCGGCUUAUCAGCUUGUUGGUGGGGUAGUGGCUUACCAAGGCUUUGACGGGUAGCCGGCCUGCGAGGGUGACCGGCCCCAUUGGGACUGAGAUACGGCCCAGACGCCUACGGGAGGCAGCAGUGGGGAAUAUUGCACAAUGGGCGGAAGCCUGAUGCAGCAACGCCGCGUGCGGGAUGACUGCCUUCGGGUUGUAAACCGCUUUCGCCUGUGACGAAGCGUGAGUGACGGUAAUGGGUAAAGAAGCACCGGCUAACUACGUG
RNAcentral lists this ribosomal RNA (468 nucleotides) under uncultured bacterium. Its description in RNAcentral is "partial 16S ribosomal RNA". It matches the Rfam family "Bacterial small subunit ribosomal RNA", at positions 28 to 507 of the family's 1533-position model. The record is from RNAcentral.